Long non-coding RNA from Xenopus tropicalis (tropical clawed frog), 344 nucleotides. RefSeq lists it as uncharacterized. The transcript has 2 exons. The record is from RefSeq and is a predicted model, not a curated record. Lineage: Eukaryota; Metazoa; Chordata; Amphibia; Anura; Pipidae.
GACAGGCUUUCCGUAAUUCGGAGCUUUCUGGAUAACGGGUUUCCGGAUAAGGGAUCCCAUACCUGUACCAGGGGAAGAAUGAGCUACAAAUACCCCGUUUUUGGAGAAGAUAUUACACAACUGGGAAAGAUAAAAGAUACCACCACCAAACAAAACAAUUGUUUUGGAAGGAUGCCUAAGCCCAUGCAGUGAUUUCCACUAAAGGAUUGUGUCUGUUAUUGCUGCAGUGCUGCCUGAGAGCCGUCCCACAGAUCACGGCCAUCCAGUAUUGGCAUGUGGCCUUGUCCCUUGACUGAGAUUUCUCUGGAUUUUCUGAAUCUUUUAAUAAAAUAUACUGAAGAUGA